GUAGGAUACGUGAUGAUAAACUUGGUCAUGUGACCCACAGGCAUGCACCGUGCAAGACUCCGACGCUCCAGAGGCAAAGCAGGCCGGUACUCGAUCUGAGCUGGAAGAAUGACAGGAAGUGGGAGGAGUCAGUCAGGGGUUAGGACUUAAUAUUUUGUUAAAAAUAACAUAUAAACAUGGACCAAUCCCGUCUCUCUGGAGAUGGGGAUUAAGGUUUAAGAGUGGAACUGUGUAUUAGAUGUGAUUUGGAUGAUGCGAUCGUUCCAGUCCUCGGGUCCUGAGAGAAGCGAUGCCCUCUGAGGCGAGUGCGCUGUGGGAUGAUUUAAACAUGAGGUUCGCAAUGGUGAUAAACUGGUGGCUAUAAACCUCCCAGAUCUGUAAACUACGUUAGCAUCAUAUCCUGAAUGCAGAAUUACGGAAGCAAAUGUUGUGGAUCAAAUAUCUGAGAGGGACAGAGAGACAGAGGGAAAGUAAGGGAGAGAGAGACAGGGGGAAAGUAAGUGAGAGAGAGACAGGGGGAAAGUAAGUGAGGGACACAAGAGAAAGCGACAGUGAGAGACAGACAGACAGGCAUUGGAGAGAGAUACAAAAAGACAUAGAAAGGAAGAGGAGACCGCGAGAGGAGGGGAACACUGAGGGAGAGAAACGGAGAGAGAUGAGAGAGACACACAGAGAGACAAAGACAGACACAGAGAGAUACAGAAAAAGAAAGAGAUACACCGGGUGAGAAAGACUCCGAGAGAGAGAGAGACACGAGUGAAAGAGCCUGAGGAAAAAAACGGAGGAAAAAGAAACGGUGAAAAGACACAGAUGGAGAGAUAUGAUAGAUUCACCAGAGAGAGAGAGAGAGAGAGAGAGAGAGAGAGAGAGAGAGAGAGAGCUGCAGUAUGAGGACAUUAUGGUGUAUGAGAGCAGACGUCUCGCAGCACUCUGAUCAGCUCGUCUUAUCGAUCUGAGUGCCGCGCUCUCUCAUAAGACAGCACUCUGCUAAAUUG
Long non-coding RNA from Ictalurus punctatus (channel catfish), 995 nucleotides. The record is from Ensembl. NCBI's taxonomy places the organism in Eukaryota, Metazoa, Chordata, Actinopteri, Siluriformes, Ictaluridae.